RNAcentral lists this long non-coding RNA (275 nucleotides) under Heterocephalus glaber (naked mole-rat). RNAcentral describes it as "lncRNA (ENSHGLG00100048152.1)". Lineage: Eukaryota; Metazoa; Chordata; Mammalia; Rodentia; Bathyergidae. The record is from RNAcentral.
GGGAUCCUCCUGCCUCAGCCUUCUGAGUGCUGGAAUUAUCUGAAGCAGCUUUCCAGGAUUUAAUUUUUUAAAUUCAAGGGAGCUGGGGCUCUGGCUCCACACAGUUGAAGACCGAAGCCUCAGUCACUGUGUCAGUCCAGGGACAAUGGACCGGAAGCAGGCAAAGAUACCUGAGCAGCCCACCCCCCAUUCAGCAGGAGCCUGAGCCCAUCAGCAGCGUGCUCCAGGGAGGCGACAUUCUUGCCUUGGCCAUAAAGAAGAGGACUUGAAGAAAG